RNAcentral lists this ribosomal RNA (116 nucleotides) under Colletotrichum graminicola M1.001. The record is from RNAcentral. Lineage: Eukaryota; Fungi; Ascomycota; Sordariomycetes; Glomerellales; Glomerellaceae.
ACGACCACACCCACUGGAGAACUCGGGAUCCCGUCCGCUCUCCCAUAGAUAAGCCAGUGAGGGCCGGAUUAGUAGUUGGGUCGGUGACGACCAGCGAAUACCUGGUGUUGUAUGUG